Molecule: unclassified non-coding RNA, 379 nt
Filed under: uncultured Micrococcales bacterium
Lineage: Bacteria; Bacillati; Actinomycetota; Actinomycetes; Micrococcales
Description: contains 16S-23S intergenic spacer region
Source: RNAcentral
UCCGAGUUGUCCCCGGCAGUCCCCUUAAAGUCCCCGGCAUACCCGCUGGCAACUAAGGGCAGGGGUUGCGCUCGUUGCGGCACUUAACCCAACAUCUCACGACACGAGCUGACGACAACCAUGCACCACCUGUGAACCGGCCCCAAAGGGGAAGGGCUGUUUCCAGCCCGGUCCGGCCCAUGUCAAGCCUUGGUAAGGUUCUUCGCGUUGCAUCGAAUUAAUCCGCAUGCUCCGCCGCUUGUGCGGGCCCCCGUCAAUUCCUUUGAGUUUUAGCCUUGCGGCCGUACUCCCCAGGCGGGGCACUUAAUGCGUUAGCUGCGGCACGGAACUCGUGGAAUGAGCCCCACACCUAGUGCCCAACGUUUACGGCAUGGACUAC